Molecule: ribosomal RNA, 1550 nt
Filed under: Escherichia fergusonii
Lineage: Bacteria; Pseudomonadati; Pseudomonadota; Gammaproteobacteria; Enterobacterales; Enterobacteriaceae
Description: bacterial SSU rRNA
Rfam family: Bacterial small subunit ribosomal RNA
Source: RNAcentral
AAAUUGAAGAGUUUGAUCAUGGCUCAGAUUGAACGCUGGCGGCAGGCCUAACACAUGCAAGUCGAACGGUAACAGGAAUCAGCUUGCUGAUUCGCUGACGAGUGGCGGACGGGUGAGUAAUGUCUGGGAAACUGCCUGAUGGAGGGGGAUAACUACUGGAAACGGUAGCUAAUACCGCAUAAUGUCGCAAGACCAAAGAGGGGGACCUUCGGGCCUCUUGCCAUCGGAUGUGCCCAGAUGGGAUUAGCUAGUAGGUGGGGUAACGGCUCACCUAGGCGACGAUCCCUAGCUGGUCUGAGAGGAUGACCAGCCACACUGGAACUGAGACACGGUCCAGACUCCUACGGGAGGCAGCAGUGGGGAAUAUUGCACAAUGGGCGCAAGCCUGAUGCAGCCAUGCCGCGUGUAUGAAGAAGGCCUUCGGGUUGUAAAGUACUUUCAGCGGGGAGGAAGGGAGUAAAGUUAAUACCUUUGCUCAUUGACGUUACCCGCAGAAGAAGCACCGGCUAACUCCGUGCCAGCAGCCGCGGUAAUACGGAGGGUGCAAGCGUUAAUCGGAAUUACUGGGCGUAAAGCGCACGCAGGCGGUUUGUUAAGUCAGAUGUGAAAUCCCCGGGCUCAACCUGGGAACUGCAUCUGAUACUGGCAAGCUUGAGUCUCGUAGAGGGGGGUAGAAUUCCAGGUGUAGCGGUGAAAUGCGUAGAGAUCUGGAGGAAUACCGGUGGCGAAGGCGGCCCCCUGGACGAAGACUGACGCUCAGGUGCGAAAGCGUGGGGAGCAAACAGGAUUAGAUACCCUGGUAGUCCACGCCGUAAACGAUGUCGACUUGGAGGUUGUGCCCUUGAGGCGUGGCUUCCGGAGCUAACGCGUUAAGUCGACCGCCUGGGGAGUACGGCCGCAAGGUUAAAACUCAAAUGAAUUGACGGGGGCCCGCACAAGCGGUGGAGCAUGUGGUUUAAUUCGAUGCAACGCGAAGAACCUUACGGUCUUGACAUCCACGGAAGUUUUCAGAGAUGAGAAUGUGCCUUCGGGAACCGUGAGACAGGUGCUGCAUGGCUGUCGUCAGCUCGUGUUGUGAAAUGUUGGGUUAAGUCCCGCAACGAGCGCAACCCUUAUCCUUUGUUGCCAGCGGUCCGGCCGGGAACUCAAAGGAGACUGCCAGUGAUAAACUGGAGGAAGGUGGGGAUGACGUCAAGUCAUCAUGGCCCUUACGACCGUGGCUACACACGUGCUACAAUGGCGCAUACAAAGAGAAGCGACCUCGCGAGAGCAAGCGGACCUCAUAAAGUGCGUCGUAGUCCGGAUUGGAGUCUGCAACUCGACUCCAUGAAGUCGGAAUCGCUAGUAAUCGUGGAUCAGAAUGCCACGGUGAAUACGUUCCCGGGCCUUGUACACACCGCCCGUCACACCAUGGGAGUGGGUUGCAAAAGAAGUAGGUAGCUUAACCUUCGGGAGGGCGCUUACCACUUUGUGAUUCAUGACUGGGGUGAAGUCGUAACAAGGUAACCGUAGGGGAACCUGCGGUUGGAUCACCUCCUUACCUUAAAGAA